GCAAAGUUGCUCAUGAGAAGGGUCCUGCAUUAUGUGUAAUGGUCAGAUUUGCAUUCCCUUACUGUUGUUUUUCACUGGCUGGUGGCUUACCAGGAAGAGUGUGGCCUUGGCUCAGGAGCUGAGACAAAUCCUGAAGAUGUUGGCUGUUGGAGGCCAUCAGAUAACCAUUUUAUGUUUUUAUUUUUUUGAGAUGGAUUUUCGCUCUUGUUGUCCAGGCUGGAGUGCAAUGGCGUGAUCUCGGCUCAUUGCAACCUCCACCUCCCAGGUUCAAGCGAUUCUCUUGCCUCAGCCUCCCUAGUAGCUGGGAUUACAGGCACCCACCGCCAUGCCCAGCUAGUUUUUUGUAUUUUUAGUAGAGACAGGGUUUUACUCUGUUGGCCAGGCUGGUCUCGAACUCCUGACCUCAGGUGAUCCACCCGCCUCAGCCUCCCAAAAUGUUGGCAUUACAGGUGUGAGCCACCGCGCCCGGCUCAGCUAACCAUUUUCUUACAGCAAUUCUCAGAGGAAGAUCUGAGAAGCAUUCCCACAGUUGUCACAGGCUCUCCCCACAUCCCCCUGAAUUUCACCCCUCUUCUCUUCCUCAGGGUUCCCCUACUAAACUCCUGGGACCAUCUACCCUCCCUCAGCAAGCGUCAUGGUCCAGGUUCUCCCUUGUCUCUGACACGUUUCUGAGUGGCACAGACACCUCAUCCCAGGACAGAUGCUGGACACCGAAUAUGGGCCACUGCCGCUGUUGCCACCCAUCAGGAUAUCUCUUCAUCACUGCUGGCUGGAAAAGCACUUCCCCACUCUGUCUUUUUGCCCUCUUUUCACAUGGACACCUCUCUUGAGUGCAUCUAGCUUUUUAAGCCCAAGGCUAGGAAAGCAGGCUUUGCAGAGUUUAGAGCAUAUUCUACCCAACUGGCCCCAGAUGGAAAAUACUCUUUUGAAAUUGGAUGGCUUUUUAAGUGUAGCUCUCCACAGCCUGCUCAAGGAAAAAAAAAUGACCCUGGAAACAGACGGGGGAUUCUUAUAA
This 1015-nucleotide long non-coding RNA is filed under the name Papio anubis (olive baboon). Its description in RNAcentral is "lncRNA (ENSPANG00000042069.1)". Lineage: Eukaryota; Metazoa; Chordata; Mammalia; Primates; Cercopithecidae. The record is from RNAcentral.